Molecule: transfer RNA, 73 nt
Filed under: Felis catus (domestic cat)
Lineage: Eukaryota; Metazoa; Chordata; Mammalia; Carnivora; Felidae
Also listed under: 2 other names
Rfam family: tRNA
About the family: Transfer RNA (tRNA) molecules are approximately 80 nucleotides in length. Their secondary structure includes four short double-helical elements and three loops (D, anti-codon, and T loops).
Source: Rfam by way of RNAcentral
ACCUGGCUGGUUCACUUGGUAGAGCAUGGGACUCUUGAUCUCAGGGUCGUGAGUCUAAACCCCACGUUGGGUG